Molecule: ribosomal RNA, 307 nt
Filed under: uncultured Sordariomycetes
Lineage: Eukaryota; Fungi; Ascomycota; Sordariomycetes
Description: partial large subunit ribosomal RNA
Rfam family: Eukaryotic large subunit ribosomal RNA
Source: RNAcentral
AUAUCAAUAAGCGGAGGAGAAGAAACCAACAGGGAUUGCCUUAGUAACGGCGAGUGAAGCGGCAACAGCUCAAAUUUGAAAUCUGGCCUUCUGGUCCGAGUUGUAAUUUGUAGAGGAUGAUUUUGGUGCGGUACUUUCCGAGUUCCCUGGAACGGGACGCCUUAGAGGGUGAGAGCCCCGUACGGUUAGAUGCCUAGCCUCUGUAAAUCUCCUUCGACGAGUCGAGUAGUUUGGGAAUGCUGCUCUAAAUGGGAGGUAAAUUCCAUCUAAGGCUAAAUAUCUGCGAGAGACCGAUAGCGCACAAGUA